RNAcentral lists this ribosomal RNA (425 nucleotides) under uncultured bacterium. RNAcentral describes it as "partial 16S ribosomal RNA". It matches the Rfam family "Bacterial small subunit ribosomal RNA", at positions 354 to 796 of the family's 1533-position model. The record is from RNAcentral.
GUGGGGAAUAUUGGACAAUGGGCGCAAGCCUGAUCCAGCCAUGCCGCGUGAGUGAUGAAGGCCUUAGGGUUGUAAAGCUCUUUCAGUGGGGACGAUAAUGACGGUACCUACAGAAGAAGCCCCGGCUAACUUCGUGCCAGCAGCCGCGGUAAUACGAAGGGGGCUAGCGUUGUUCGGAUUUACUGGGCGUAAAGCGCACGUAGGCGGAAUGUUAAGUCAGAGGUGAAAUCCUGGAGCUCAACUCCAGAACUGCCUUUGAUACUGGCAAUCUCGAGUCCGGAAGAGGUGAGUGGAACUCCUAGUGUAGAGGUGGAAUUCGUAGAUAUUAGGAAGAACACCAGUGGCGAAGGCGGCUCACUGGUCCGGUACUGACGCUGAGGUGCGAAAGCGUGGGGAGCAAACAGGAUUAGAUACCCGAGUAGUCC